AGAGUUUGAUCCUGGCUCAGAGCGAACAUUGGCGGUAGGCUUAACACAUGCAAGUCGAGCGAGGCGUAAUAGUCGAGCGGCGAACGGGUGCGUAAUACAUGGGAAUCUACCUCGAAGUGGGGGAUAACGUUCAGAAAUGAACGCUAAUACCGCAUAAUCCAUAUCGGGAAAGCGUUGCAGCGCUUUGAGAUGAGCCCAUGGCUGAUUAGCUAGUUGGUGGGGUAAUGGCCUACCAAGGCGACGAUCAGUAGCUGGUCUGAGAGGAUGACCAGCCACACUGGAACUGAGACACGGUCCAGACUCCUACGGGAGGCAGCAGUGGGGAAUCUUGCGCAAUGGGGGCAACCCUGACGCAGCCAUACCGCGUGAGUGAUGAAGGUCUUCGGAUUGUAAAGCUCUUUCGGCGGGGACGACGAUGACGGUACCCGCAAAAGAAGUCACGGCUAACUUCGUGCCAGCAGCCGCGGUAAUACGAAGGUGGCGAAUGUUGCUCGGAUUCACUGGGCGUAAAGCGUCUGUAGGUGGCUUGUUAAGUUAGAGGUGAAAGCCCCGCGCUCAACGUGGGAACUGCCUUUAAAACUGGCGAGCUUGAGAGUAUCAGAGGAAGGCGGAAUAACUGGUGUAGAGGUAAAAUUCAUAGAUAUCAGUUGGAACAUCCAUGGCGAAGGCAGCUUUCUGGGAUAUUUCUGACACUGAGAGACGACAGCGUGGGGAGCAAACAGGAUUAGAUACCCUGGUAGUCC
RNAcentral lists this ribosomal RNA (743 nucleotides) under uncultured bacterium. RNAcentral's name for it is "bacterial SSU rRNA". It matches the Rfam family "Bacterial small subunit ribosomal RNA", at positions 8 to 796 of the family's 1533-position model. The record is from RNAcentral.